RNAcentral lists this small RNA (216 nucleotides) under Paraoerskovia marina. Its description in RNAcentral is "Actinobacteria sRNA Ms_IGR-5". It matches the Rfam family "Actinobacteria sRNA Ms_IGR-5". Lineage: Bacteria; Bacillati; Actinomycetota; Actinomycetes; Micrococcales; Cellulomonadaceae. The record is from Rfam by way of RNAcentral.
ACAAGGGAAGGAGGUGGUCCAAGGAAAUGAUUGAUUCCCGGACUCUUGAGGUGGUUGCGCGCUGACGUCGCGCACCGACCGGACGGCAGCUGCCGAUCGCGUGUCACCCCCGCGGGGGUGACGUCGGCGAAUCCCACGCAGUCACCGGAACCCGCGGGCGUCGUGCCCUCGUCCAGCACGACAGGUGGACCCCCACCGGCCCGCGGGUUCUUGCGU